AUGGACCACGCGUACACUCCGGUUUUGAACGCGCCGUCCACACCCACCUGACAACUGCUCGCUAUGUUUUGUUAGCC
RNAcentral lists this small RNA (77 nucleotides) under Xanthomonas sp. NCPPB 1560. RNAcentral describes it as "sX9 sRNA". It matches the Rfam family "Xanthomonas sRNA sX9". Lineage: Bacteria; Pseudomonadati; Pseudomonadota; Gammaproteobacteria; Lysobacterales; Lysobacteraceae. RNAcentral also lists the same sequence under 7 other names. The record is from RNAcentral.